AUGUGCCUGGUUGUGUGCACGCAUUGCAGUUGCAGGGGACCAAAGGAUUCAACGGAGAACCUUGAAGAGCUUAUCGACCUUGUUUCCUUUGACGACGCUUCCAGCAGCCUUCGUGAAGCUUGGAAGCAGUGGCUCAUGGCAUGGACUGCAAAUUGGAGCCAUAGAUCCAUUGACAGGGAUACAGCACUGCUGUUGGUUCGCACAAUCGAAAUCUGCUCGGGAAGGCAUGCCUCCGCCGAGCAGAAACUGAACCUUUGGGAGUACUCCCAGCUCGAGCAGCUCACCUCUUCCAUCUGCCGCAAGCUUGCCGCAAAAGUUCAUGCUCAGAAAGGAGGAGGUGUGGGUACAGAGGACUUGGACCGGCAAGUGGAUUUCGAGAUGCGAGAGCUAUCUUGGCGUGUUCAUCAGAGUGGCCAUGACAUCAACAGAGACCAGGCAGACAUUUCUUCACGUUGUGAAAAGCUUCUAUUACUCGGCUCAUUGCUCACCUGA
This 492-nucleotide ribosomal RNA is filed under the name Triticum aestivum (bread wheat). RNAcentral describes it as "partial small subunit ribosomal RNA". The record is from RNAcentral. Lineage: Eukaryota; Viridiplantae; Streptophyta; Magnoliopsida; Poales; Poaceae.